This 356-nucleotide ribosomal RNA is filed under the name Nodularia douglasiae. RNAcentral describes it as "partial 16S ribosomal RNA". It matches the Rfam family "Bacterial large subunit ribosomal RNA", at positions 1939 to 2532 of the family's 2925-position model. The record is from RNAcentral. Lineage: Eukaryota; Metazoa; Mollusca; Bivalvia; Unionida; Unionidae.
AGCGUGAGCGUGCUAAGGUAGCGUAAUAAUUAGCCUUUUAAUUGGAGGCCAGUGAAUGGCAAGACUAGGAAUAGCUGUACUUUGUGUAUAAAAAGAACUUUUCGUCUAAGUGAAAAGACUUAGAUAACAAAGGAAGACGAAAAGACCCCGCGGAACUUUACCUUUUCUUAAACUUCUGUCUACAAACUUAAAGGUUUAAUAGGUUUGAUUGGGGCAAUCUUGGAACCAAUAAAACUUCCAAUUUUUAAAAAUAAACAUAUAAAAUAUGUUGAGGACUAAAAAGUAGUUACCCCGGGGAUAACAGCGUAAUCCAACUUAAGAGUACACAUCGAAAGUUGGGUUUGCGACCUCGAUGU